Molecule: ribosomal RNA, 836 nt
Filed under: Rossellomorea vietnamensis
Lineage: Bacteria; Bacillati; Bacillota; Bacilli; Caryophanales; Bacillaceae
Description: bacterial SSU rRNA
Rfam family: Bacterial small subunit ribosomal RNA
Source: RNAcentral
UCGAGCGGAUUGAUGGGAGCUUGCUCCCUGAUAUCAGCGGCGGACGGGUGAGUAACACGUGGGUAACCUGCCUGUAAGACUGGGAUAACUCCGGGAAACCGGGGCUAAUACCGGAUAACUCAUUUCCUCGCAUGAGGAAAUGUUGAAAGGUGGCUUCUGCUUACCCUUUCCAAAGGGACCCCCGGGCCUUUACUUAUUGGGGGAGGAACCGGUCCCCCAGGGCAACAAUGCUUACCCAACUUGAAAGGUGGAUCGGCACCCCGGGAAUGAAAACACGGCCCAAAUCCCUACGGAAGGAACCAGAAGGAAUCCUCCCCCAUGGAACAAAAGCCUAACGAACCACCCCCCCUGGAGGGAUGAAGGUUUCCGAACCUAAAACUCCUGUGGUUAGGAAGAAACAAUGGCCGUUCAAUUAGGGGGGCACCUGGCCGGAACCUACCCAAAAAGCACCGGUUACUUCCUGGCCACAACCCGCGUAAUUACUAAGUUGGCAGCGGUUGUCCGGAUUAAUGGGGCGAAAAGCCGGCGCAGGUGGUUCUUAAGUCUGGAUGUGAAGGCCACCGCUCCACCCGCGAAGGUCAUUGGAAACUGGGGAACCUGAUUGCAAGAGAAGAAAAUGGAAUUCCCAGUGUUACCGUGGAAUGCCUAAAAUUUUAGAAGAACCCCCAUGGGCGACGCAACUUUCUGGCCUGAACCUGAACUUAAGGCGCGAAGCGGGGGAAGCAAACGGAUUAAAUACCUGGUUAUCCCACCCCGAAAACAAAAAAUGUAAAGGGUUAGGGGGUUCUCCGCCCUUUAUGUUGUAUUUAACGCAAUUAAAGACUCCCCCUUGGGAG